This 411-nucleotide ribosomal RNA is filed under the name uncultured eukaryote. RNAcentral's name for it is "SSU rRNA". It matches the Rfam family "Eukaryotic small subunit ribosomal RNA", at positions 592 to 1003 of the family's 1831-position model. The record is from RNAcentral.
CAAUAGCGUAUAUUAAAGUUGUUGCGGUUAAAAGCUCGUAGUUGGAGUUCUGCCAGGUGCCGCCUGUCCGCCCCAGUGGUGAGUACGUGGCGCGCAUUUGGCCCUUUCAAGGGGAGCGUAUCUGCACUUUAUUGUGUGGUGCGGGAUCCUUGACUUUUACUUUGAGGAAAUAGGAGUGUUCCAAGCAGGCUCUCGUCGUGCACAGCUCAGCAUGGAAUAAUAGCAUUGGACCUCGAUUCUAAGCUGUUGGUUGCCAGAAGCGAGGUAAUGAUGAAGAGGGAUAGUUGGGGGCAUUCGUAUUUAACUGUCAGAGGUGAAAUUCUUGGAUUUGUUAAAGAACGGACGUACUGCGAAGACAUCUGCCAUGGAGUGUUUUCUAUUGUAUCAAGAACGAAAGUUAAGGGGUAGUCG